UGGGAACGCGAAGAACCUUACCAAGUCUUGACAUCGGAAUGACCGUCUCGUAACGGAGACUUCCCUUCGGGGCAUUCCAGACAGGUGGUGCAUGGUUGUCGUCAGCUCGUGUCGUGAGAUGUUGGGUUAAGUCCCGCAACGAGCGCAACCCUUAUCCUUAGUAGCCAGCAGUUCGGCUGGGCACUCUGGGGAGACUGCCAGGGAUAACCUGGAGGAAGGUGGGAUGACGUCAAAUCAUCAUGCCCCUUAUGAUUUGGGCUACACACAUGCUACAAUGGCGUAAACAAAGGGAAGCGAAGGAGUGAUCUGGAGCAAAUCUCAAAAAAUAACGUACUCAGUUCGGAUUGUAGUCUGCAACUCGACUACAUGAAGCUGGAAUCGCUAGUAAUCGCGGAUCAGAAUGCCGCGGUGAAUACGUUCCCGGGUCUUGUACACACCG
This 439-nucleotide ribosomal RNA is filed under the name uncultured bacterium. Its description in RNAcentral is "bacterial SSU rRNA". It matches the Rfam family "Bacterial small subunit ribosomal RNA", at positions 954 to 1392 of the family's 1533-position model. The record is from RNAcentral.